RNAcentral lists this long non-coding RNA (1083 nucleotides) under Bos indicus x Bos taurus (hybrid cattle). RNAcentral describes it as "lncRNA (ENSBIXG00000007273.1)". Lineage: Eukaryota; Metazoa; Chordata; Mammalia; Artiodactyla; Bovidae. The record is from RNAcentral.
CAGCAAGCUUGAGAAAAUGGCCUUCCUUGCCCAGAUAUCCUACAUGUGUUGAUGCCGCCUUGGAUGGAGUUUACUUUCUGGCAGUCAAAUCAGUGUUGAGUCACGUUACACUGAAAAUCAACUAAAUUUCUCAAGUUUUUUUUUUUAUCCGUGUACUGCUGUGUAGUCAUGUUCACGGUUCCCUACAUUUGUGAAGUCGGUAGACGGUGCCCAAGAUUUGAGCUUUGUUGUUUCUCUUAUUAGACGCUGUCCUCUCAGACUUAGUCCAUCAUUGUAGCUUGUUGAGAUAUUUGGGAGAGCUGAGCCCACCGGCGUAGUAGUUCUUUCAUUAUGUUCCUGCUCUUUGCCUUUUUGAUUAAUUUGCUAUGUUUGUCUUCAGAUAAAAUAUCUGAAAGGGAAGAGCUAAGGACAGACCUGGGUAGGAUUUAAGUAGAUACUGGAGCUUCCUUUUAACCAUUCUAGUAAUUCUUAACUUUGACUGCACCUAGAAUACCAAAAGAUUUCAAAACCACACCUGAGUGUGUUUGCGCCUGUGUGCACCAUCAUGAGACUCUACUUAAUUGGUCUAGGUUAAGACGUGAGCCUCAGGAUCCUGUUAGGCAACCAAGUUGAGAAUCUCUGGCAUCUCCAGCUGGAGCCCGGCUUACCCCUGAGGACUGUGAAAUCAACAGAAUUGAAAUAUAGGUUUGCUGAUGAUAUUUUGAGAAGUUCAACAACCUGGAUGUCCUACCAAGAUCCUGUUGAUAGUUCUGUGGCUCCUGAAGCCCAGGACCCUUAAUUCAGAAACAGGGAAAACAACUGAGGCCUUCGGUGAUGGGGAGGAAGCCUCUAAUUCCCUAGUUUCACGUUUGAUGAGGUGCCUUCCCACUGAUGAGCACAGCUGGCUGCAUGAUAUGAUACCAUGUUUUAGGAAAAGUACAAAAUGAAGAGUAGUCUCUCUGGAAUAUGAAGAACAAGAUGGGAAGGACUGAAGACACUAAGGUAAACCAUUAGUUUUCCCAGCUAAGCCUCUAUUUCAGUUCUACAUUUUCAAGGCAAAGUGCUGUGUGCCUUUCUUUCCUUUGAUUAUUGAACUGUGAUCCU